AAAAGGAAAAAGGGGUAGAAUCCCGUGGGAAAGACCCACCCACGUGGGCAUCGCACGACGUGUGCACAAGUGCGUGCAUGCAGCCAACAUAAGACAUGCGAACUGUGCUUAUGUCUCGUCCGUGUGGGGUGGGAGGCCAGUCUGUGCGUGUUCCAUCAUGUGCAGAAAGGCCAGUCCACGUGCGUCACAUCACUCAUAGAUAGGGCCAGGCGUCGUGCGCCCUAAGCAUGCGCCGUCCAUGUAGUAGGCUUGCGCGCUUCGCCUUGCACACUGUAAAACAUGUGCGCAUCGCCCUGCACGUGGCAGGAUUGAUCCGCACCUGCAGACUAGGCCUGCAACAUGCGACAGUAUAGGCUGGCACCUACAGCUAGGCCUGUAGAACGCGACCGGCUUGGGGAGGCACGCUGCUGCCUUGGGCAGUGUGCCACCACCCUUUGGGCAUUGUGUGCUACCUUGG
Molecule: long non-coding RNA, 457 nt
Filed under: Carica papaya (papaya)
Lineage: Eukaryota; Viridiplantae; Streptophyta; Magnoliopsida; Brassicales; Caricaceae
Description: long non-coding RNA (CPAP_LNC009434)
Source: RNAcentral